Molecule: ribosomal RNA, 404 nt
Filed under: uncultured bacterium
Lineage: Bacteria
Description: bacterial SSU rRNA
Rfam family: Bacterial small subunit ribosomal RNA
Source: RNAcentral
UAGGGAAUAUUGCUCAAUGGGGGAAACCCUGAAGCAGCAACGCCGCGUGGAGGAUGAAGGUUUUCGGAUUGUAAACUCCUUUUGUUAGAGAAGAUAAUGACGGUAUCUAACGAAUAAGCACCGGCUAACUCCGUGCCAGCAGCCGCGGUAAUACGGAGGGUGCAAGCGUUACUCGGAAUCACUGGGCGUAAAGAGCGCGUAGGCGGGAUAAUAAGUCAGAUGUGAAAUCCUAUGGCUUAACCAUAGAACUGCAUUUGAAACUAUUAUUCUAGAGUAUGGGAGAGGUAGGUGGAAUUCUUGGUGUAGGGGUAAAAUCCGUAGAGAUCAAGAGGAAUACUCAUUGCGAAGGCGACCUGCUGGAACAUAACUGACGCUGAUGCGCGAAAGCGUGGGGAGCAAACAGG